AUUGAACGCUGGCGGCAGGCCUAACACAUGCAAGUCGAACGGUAACAGGGAUCAGCUUGCUGAUUCGCUGACGAGUGGCGGACGGGUGAGUAAUGUCUGGGAAACUGCCUGAUGGAGGGGGAUAACUACUGGAAACGGUAGCUAAUACCGCAUAACGUCGCAAGACCAAAGAGGGGGACCUUCGGGCCUCUUGCCAUCGGAUGUGCCCAGAUGGGAUUAGCUAGUAGGUGGGGUAACGGCUCACCUAGGCGACGAUCCCUAGCUGGUCUGAGAGGAUGACCAGCCACACUGGAACUGAGACACGGUCCAGACUCCUACGGGAGGCAGCAGUGGGGAAUAUUGCACAAUGGGCGCAAGCCUGAUGCAGCCAUGCCGCGUGUAUGAAGAAGGCCUUCGGGUUGUAAAGUACUUUCAGCGGGGAGGAAGGGAGUAAAGUUAAUACCUUUGCUCAUUGACGUUACCCGCGGAAGAAGCACCGGCUAACUCCGUG
RNAcentral lists this ribosomal RNA (490 nucleotides) under uncultured bacterium. RNAcentral's name for it is "partial 16S ribosomal RNA". It matches the Rfam family "Bacterial small subunit ribosomal RNA", at positions 30 to 507 of the family's 1533-position model. The record is from RNAcentral.